AACCAACAGGGAUUGCCCUAGUAACGGCGAGUGAAGCGGCAACAGCUCAAAUUUGAAACCUGGCGCUUGCGUCCGGAUUGUAAUUUGUAGAGGAUGCUUCUGGGCAGCGGCCGUUCUAAGUUCCUUGGAACAGGACGUCAUAGAGGGUGAGAAUCCCGUAUGUGACCGGCGCGCACCCUCCACGUAGCUCCUUCGACGAGUCGAGUUGUUUGGGAAUGCAGCUCUAAAUGGGAGGUAAAUUUCUUCUAAAGCUAAAUAUUGGCCAGAGACCGAUAGCGCACAAGUAGAGUGAUCGAAAGAUGAAAAGCACUUUGGAAAGAGAGUUAAAAAGCACGUGAAAUUGUUGAAAGGGAAGCGCUUCCAACCAGACUCCGCGGCGGUGUUCCGCCGGUCUUCUGACCGGUCCACUCGCCGCCGUGGGGCCAACAUCGUCUGGGGCCGCCGGAUAAGACCGGAGGAAUGUAGCUCAUUGAGUGUUAUAGCCUCCGGUGAUGCGGCGCGUCCCGGGCGAGGUCCGCGCUUCGGCAAGGAUGUUGGCGUAAUGGUUGGCAGCGGCCCGUCUUGAAACACGGACCAAGGAGUCUAACAUCUAUGCGAGUGUUCGGGUGUCAAACCCCUACGCGCAAUGAAAGUGAACGGAGGUGGGAGCUUCGGCGCACCAUCGACCGAUCCUGAUGUCCUCGGAUGGAUUUGAGUAAGAGCAUAGCUGUUGGGACCCGAAAGAUGGUGAACUAUGCCUGAAUAGGGUGAAGCCAGAGGAAACUCUGGUGGAGGCUCGCAGCGGUUCUGACGUGCAAAUCGAUCGUCAAAUUUGGGUAUAGGGGCGAAAGACUAAUCGAA
RNAcentral lists this ribosomal RNA (840 nucleotides) under Zasmidium sp. ZJUM 124. RNAcentral's name for it is "eukaryotic LSU rRNA". It matches the Rfam family "Eukaryotic large subunit ribosomal RNA", at positions 63 to 939 of the family's 3401-position model. Lineage: Eukaryota; Fungi; Ascomycota; Dothideomycetes; Mycosphaerellales; Mycosphaerellaceae. The record is from RNAcentral.